UACGGAGGGAGCUAGCGUUGUUCGGAAUUACUGGGCGUAAAGCGCGCGUAGGCGGCUUUGUAAGUCAGAGGUGAAAGCCCGGGGCUCAACCCCGGAAUUGCCUUUAAGACUGCAUCGCUUGAAUCCGGGAGAGGUGAGUGGAAUUCCGAGUGUAGAGGUGAAAUUCGUAGAUAUUCGGAAGAACACCAGUGGCGAAGGCGGCUCACUGGACCGGUAUUGACGCUGAGGCGCGAAAGCUUGGGGAGCAAACAGG
Molecule: ribosomal RNA, 253 nt
Filed under: uncultured bacterium
Lineage: Bacteria
Description: partial 16S ribosomal RNA
Rfam family: Bacterial small subunit ribosomal RNA
Source: RNAcentral